This 73-nucleotide transfer RNA is filed under the name Paramuricea clavata. It matches the Rfam family "tRNA". From Rfam's summary of the family: Transfer RNA (tRNA) molecules are approximately 80 nucleotides in length. Their secondary structure includes four short double-helical elements and three loops (D, anti-codon, and T loops). Lineage: Eukaryota; Metazoa; Cnidaria; Anthozoa; Malacalcyonacea; Plexauridae. The record is from Rfam by way of RNAcentral.
GCCUGUGUAGCUCAGUUGGUUAGAGCGCUGCACCGGAAUCGCAGGGUCGUAGGUUCAAUUCCUACCAGAGGAC